RNAcentral lists this ribosomal RNA (505 nucleotides) under uncultured bacterium. Its description in RNAcentral is "partial 16S ribosomal RNA". It matches the Rfam family "Bacterial small subunit ribosomal RNA", at positions 30 to 523 of the family's 1533-position model. The record is from RNAcentral.
AUUGAACGCUGGCGGCAUGCUUUACACAUGCAAGUCGAACGGCAGCAUGACCAAGCUUGCUUGGUUGAUGGCGAGUGGCGAACGGGUGAGUAAUACAUCGGAACGUGCCCUGUAGUGGGGGAUAACCUACCGAAAGGUAGGCUAAUACCGCAUACGACCUGAGGGUAAAAGUGGGGGACCGCAAGGCCUCACGCUAUAGGAGCGGCCGAUGGAAGAUUAGCUAGUUGGUGAGGUAAAGGCUCACCAAGGCGACGAUCUUUAGCGGGUCUGAGAGGACGAUCCGCCACACUGGGACUGAGACACGGCCCAGACUCCUACGGGAGGCAGCAGUGGGGAAUUUUGGACAAUGGGGGCAACCCUGAUCCAGCAAUGCCGCGUGAGUGAAGAAGGCCUUCGGGUUGUAAAGCUCUUUUGUUUGGGAAGAAAAGUCUGGUGCUAUUACCACUGGAUGCUGACGGUACCAAAAGAAUAGCACCGGCUAACUACGUGCCAGCCGCCGCAGUAA